GCAACUCGACUACAUGAAGCUGGAAUCGCUAGUAAUCGCGAAUCAGAAUGUCGCGGUGAAUACGUUCCCGGGUCUUGUACACACCGCCCGUCACACCAUGGGAGUUGGGAAUGCCCGAAGCCGGUGACCUAACCGAAAGGGAGGAGUCGUCGAAGGCAGGCUUGAUAACUGGGGUGAAGUCGUAACAAGGUAUC
This 194-nucleotide ribosomal RNA is filed under the name uncultured bacterium. RNAcentral's name for it is "partial 16S ribosomal RNA". It matches the Rfam family "Bacterial small subunit ribosomal RNA", at positions 1307 to 1500 of the family's 1533-position model. The record is from RNAcentral.